This 451-nucleotide ribosomal RNA is filed under the name uncultured bacterium. Its description in RNAcentral is "bacterial SSU rRNA". It matches the Rfam family "Bacterial small subunit ribosomal RNA", at positions 29 to 524 of the family's 1533-position model. The record is from RNAcentral.
AACGAACGCUGGCGGCAUGCCUAACACAUGCAAGUCGAACGAGACCUUCGGGUCUAGUGGCGCACGGGUGCGUAACGCGUGGGAAUCUGCCCUUGGGUUCGGAAUAACAGUUAGAAAUGACUGCUAAUACCGGAUAAUGUCUUCGGACCAAAGAUUUAUCGCCCAGGGAUGAGCCCCGCGUAGGAUUAGCUAGUUGGUGAGGUAAAGGCUCACCAAGGCGACGAUCCUUAGCUGGUCUGAGAGGAUGAUCAGCCACACUGGGACUGAGACACGGCCCAGACUCCUACGGGAGGCAGCAGUGGGGAAUAUUGGACAAUGGGCGAAAGCCUGAUCCAGCAAUGCCGCGUGAGUGAUGAAGGCCUUAGGGUUGUAAAGCUCUUUUACCCGGGAUGAUAAUGACAGUAUCGGGAGAAUAAGCUCCGGCUAACUCCGUGCCAGCAGCCGCGGUAAU